UUUUAAGGCGAGGCCCAAAUGUGCUAACCCCUCUUAAAAGCAUCAGCACAUGAAAAUAGGCUCGAAAUUGAGCCCAAGUAAAUGGGAAAACUCCAAUUGCCAACUGGAGAUGGGGUAUUUUCAAGUUGCCAGACACAUUCCAACAAAAUUGACUUGACAUGCGCCAGGCUUAUAAAGGAUAACAAACGGACACUUUUUAAAAAUGAAUACACAAUUUUACGAACCUUGAAAAAUACAGUGCCAAUUUGUAAGAAUUACAAGUUUCAAUUAAUCUAACUACAAUUCAGAAUGACCACAUGGAUCCGGAAAAUAGAGUAACAAUGACAAUUGGACUAGAUAAGAGCUUUUGGCAUUAUUUAAAUCAACACGUCACUGCACUGGAGUACACAAACACUUCUGGUGUUUCCUUCUUUUUUGCUAACUAUUGGUUUAGCCAAAUCAGUUAAGCAAUCUGAAUUAGAGCUAUGUGUGCAGUCACCACCACUUCGCCUACUAACAGUAUUUUCAGAGAGGCUCUCUAGCUGGCAUACAAAAACAGCAGUCAUUACUGACAAAUUUUACAAAUUAAACAACCAUCUUAUCAAGUGUUAGCUAUCACAGCCCCUAAUUCUAGCUGGUAACAACAUAUAAACUUCAUGGCUAAAGAUCAAAUUGUGUAGGCGAUUAAUUUCAUAUAAAUCUACAGAUAACUUCAAAUAUACUGAUUUUAAUCAUUGUUUAACAUGAUGCAUGCAAUAAUUUAACUCAUAACUCAAGGUUGUAUCUCAAACAAUACACAACUUGAUGAAUAUCAGGCACAUUCACAAAAGAAAAUUGAAAAUUGACAGAGCAAACAAACCAUUUUAUAUUUCAAGCAAGCUGGAAAUUACAUUAUUUGAUCAAGAGUAAUACCUUUGUAGGAGCCAAAACUAAAGAAACAGAAAAUAAAUCUCUGAACAUGAGAAACAGCUAAAAGCAAGAUUCCACCACAGUUUGAUGAAAACUCAACACACAGCAACUAACAUCAGUAAAUCCCAGAAGAAGGCCUCAAUUUCAGUCCAAAACUAACUUUAGCAAAAUCAAGAAUCAGUGGAAAGAAAUGACAGAGUCUUAGAAGCAACCCCUGAAUUUUAAUUUUCCAAAUUUGGAAUUCACUUUGAAUUCCAGAAUUUUCUUUAGCUUUUGCUUCAGCAGAAGAUUAAAAGAAAUCUCUAUGUGGUAUAUUUGUCUAUCCCUUCAGAAUGCAGAAUGAAUCCUAUUAUAUAAGCUUUGUGUAUGCUAGGGGUGUGCAUUUCAAUCGGUUUAUCGAUAAAUCAAAUCAUUUAUUUGUUAUCGGUUUAUCGAUAUCGGUUUAUCGAUUUGGAUUUCGAUUUCGAAAUUUUUCUUAUCGAGUUAUCGAUUUCGAUUUCGAUUUUGUCCUCUUCGAUUAUCGGUUAAUCGAUAAACCGAUAAGAUAUACUAAAAAGACAAAAAAAUAUUUCUUUUUUUUACUUUUUAUUUUUACCCUUAUUCUAUAAUACCCUUUCCUUUAUCCUAAGUCCCUAACCCUAUUAUUUCCUCUACCACAUUUAAGGAAUGAUCAUAUUUAAAGAUCAAGGGAAUGAAGUUCAAAUUAAUGGAAAACAAAAUUAGCCGUGAUGAUGUAUUUUGUUUUGUUUUUUUUAUACCGUUGGAGUGUUGGUGACAUACAUUUGAUCCCUUACUUUAGUUUUGUUGCAUGUGCUUGUUGACAUAAUUUUUAUGUUAUAAACGGUGUUCGUCUUAUUUUAGCUUCUUUUUGUCCAUAUUAGUUAGGCGUGUUUAUAGCGAUAUACUUUCCGUGGAAUCCCGCAAAUUUUCUUAUUGGUGUAAUCGAUAACCGAAUCGAUAAGCCCCCAAAAUCGAUAAAUCGAAAUAGAAAAAAUCGAAACCUUAUUAAAACGAUAACGAUAAACAUAUGUACAAAUCUAUAAUCGAUAAGUAAUUAUCGAUAAGGAUCAAAAUCGAAUCGAUAAAUCGAAUGCACACCCCUAGUGUAUGCUAUAAGAGAGAAUGAGAGGGAGUCUAGGAAAAGAAUAUGCCAGCUCCUAAAUUUUAGGGAAAAUGACAUCUUUUCAACUGAAUUGGACAACUGUCCUCUUAUUCUCAGAUAUUUUCCUAUUUUUCAUCAUCUUAUCUUAACAAUUUUGGACAGCUGUCCUAUUUCCAGAAGUUUGCAGAUUUUUUCACCCUUUAAACUUCUGAAAAUUCAUUCUUUUAAACCCCAAUUUUGGCCUAAUUCUUUCAUUUUAUUGCACUUUAAUCCCUUUCUAGAAGCUUCCCACAUAACCAACUCAGAUUCUCUAUUGUGUUUUCCCAAUUAUCCCCCCCCCCAAAUUUUCUGGUAAUUACAAUUAGCUAACCAAAGAGAAUUCACACAGAUUAAGAAUAAGGGGAAAGAACAAAAAAUGCAGAGAUCAAACCGUUUAAACAAAGAUCUAAUUAAUUCAAAAAUUGAUUAAACUAAUUUAACUUGUGCAAUUAAACCUAAUUAUCGAGUAAUUAAACCACUAAUCAUGCAACGAACUAGUAAUCCAAACAUGGUCAUGACAGGUUAUCAGUAAGUAACACGUUCUAAACUAAAAAAGAAGAAGCAGAUUCAUGCAAUACCUAGACUAAUUAAAAUACAAUGUCGCAACCAAAAAGAAGAGAGGGGAAAAAAGGCUAAAUACCCAGUAGCGGAUAGAUGCUAGAAUGUCGACCUCGAGCCGGUCAAUCUCGACCUAAAUCAGGUGUCUUCGGAGUGAGCCAAAACCAACAUCAAUCGAUUGUUCUUGUUAAGAACAAUCGAUCGAUGUAAGUUUUAGGUCAAAAGGGGUUCUGCUCGCUGAAGACAAAGAACAAAACAAAGUUUAGGUUUUCUGGGGAUUUUAGAUAUGAAAAUCGAGCAAUCUUAGGGUGUUUUGGAGGAAAUUAAAAGGGGAUAUGGGAUGAGGAGGAGGUGGGGAUUGUGGGGGUGAGGAUUUGGGGUGGUUUGGAGUGGUGGCCGUCGAUUAAGGAGGUGGGGGAUUUAGGGGCGGCUAGGGUUUUCUUGAGAGAGAAGGGGGAGGAUGGGAAAUGAACGAGGUCUCUAGGGUUCUGGGG
Molecule: long non-coding RNA, 3081 nt
Filed under: Nicotiana tabacum (common tobacco)
Lineage: Eukaryota; Viridiplantae; Streptophyta; Magnoliopsida; Solanales; Solanaceae
Description: long non-coding RNA (NTAB_LNC006612)
Source: RNAcentral